UUGAACGCUGGCGGCAUGCCUUACACAUGCAAGUCGAACGGUAACAGGUCUUCGGAUGCUGACGAGUGGCGAACGGGUGAGUAAUACAUCGGAACGUGCCCGAGAGUGGGGGAUAAUGGAGCGAAAGCUUUGCUAAUACCGCAUACGAUCUACGGAUGAAAGCAGGGGACCGCAAGGCCUUGCGCUCAUGGAGCGGCCGAUGGCCGAUUAGGUAGUUGGUGGGAUAAAAGCUUACCAAGCCGACGAUCUGCAGCUGGUCUGAGAGGACGACCAGCCACACUGGAACUGAGACACGGUCCAGACUCCUACGGGAGGCAGCAGUGGGGAAUUUUGGACAAUGGGGGCAACCCUGAUCCAGCCAUUCCGCGUGAGUGAAGAAGGCCUUCGGGUUGUAAAGCUCUUUCAGCAGGAACGAAACGGUGGCUACUAAUACUAGCUACUAAUGACGGUACCUGAAGAAGAAGCACCGGCUAACUACGU
This 480-nucleotide ribosomal RNA is filed under the name uncultured bacterium. Its description in RNAcentral is "bacterial SSU rRNA". It matches the Rfam family "Bacterial small subunit ribosomal RNA", at positions 30 to 506 of the family's 1533-position model. The record is from RNAcentral.